Alosa sapidissima (American shad) is the source of this 2636-nucleotide long non-coding RNA. RefSeq lists it as uncharacterized. Lineage: Eukaryota; Metazoa; Chordata; Actinopteri; Clupeiformes; Clupeidae. The record is from RefSeq and is a predicted model, not a curated record. The transcript is spliced from 3 exons.
AAUAAACUGGUAUGCCCAUGCCUGCUCAGUGAUGGCUCAUAUGCCCUUGCUUUAUUGCAAUGCAAUUAAGCCUAAGUGGUUGCAUACUAUAAAACAUUUAUAGUAUUCAAUGAAAAAACAGAGUGUUAGGUGUGUUUCUAUGCCAAUAUGGUUCCGACAUUUUACAGGGGGCUACUCCCAUGUUGGCGACCCCCCACACUCCCAUGUCUUCGUCUCCGCCCAUCCACCCGGCGCCGUGUUGCAUGAACCAAGGGAACCUGCUAGGUUCGUUGAGUUCAUGCGCCAACAAAACGUAUGGCUCCCAUUCCCCCAAUAAUACCCUAUAUAGCCAAUACCCCCUCCUCCCCCUCUCCAGUUGAUACUUCACGUACGCCUGCAUGGAGAAAUUCCUCGCGCGGCGUUAAAUAUUACCAAGGAGGUAGUCCGUUGAAAAGAGUCCAUCGUUAAUUCUUGGUAAGUGAUAAUGUUUUUUAAGCAGAUGUUUCAUAACACACAUAGGCCUACAUGUAUCUUCCUAGUCCCAGAAAACGGCCAAGCUCUACGAUGGGUAAGUUCGUAGCCUAUCAUUGUGUGGCCGCGUACUGAGGCCUCAAAGUAAUGUUUCUUUCAUUCGUUUAUCCGUUUUAUUUAAAGCAGAAUGUAGCCUAAUCAAACAACGAAAAAAUGUUUCAAAUUGAUCUCAUUUGAAAUGCAUUCUGUUUUGUAUAACUCCAAUUUCUUCUGGCCUCUAUAGGCACUCUAUCAUGGUCAUUUGAUAGGAUUUUUCUCCCAAACUACAUAAGACCUACAUUAAUAUCUAGCUUGCAGACAGCAUUAUCCAGCAAUUCAUUGUUCUUUGUUUUCAAAUAUUUGUGGCUUCCUCCUCUCUGCACCCAUGUAAAGUUCAGAUCUUAUUUUAAUAAUCUGAAUUCUCCGUCCAGAUGCAUGCUCAAUGCCAUGGGUAUUAUAUAAAGCUUCAUGUAAAAUAGAAAUGGUUUUACGUAAUACCAAAACAAUGCCAGAAACAUUGCCCAGUGAAGAGCAUGACCUCACAUGUUGUUUUGCUGUGGCUAUAUUCAUGCCCUGUAGCUCUAAUUAGGUCAAUGACACUGCAUUAGAUAUGGUCUCAGCAUCAUACAUGGCACAUAUGUGACGUGGGACAAUGGGAGGGGGCUUUUUCUUGAGUAAAUGAUGGAAGUGUGUGGCGUUGCAUAAUACACUGCAGCGUAUUAACACACUUGCUCCUUCAAGCGUGCACCGUACUGCAUGGCAAUACUUUUUGAGCGCACUGUCCUUUUCCCUUGCUCUUUCUCUCUCUCUCUCUCUCUCCUUCUCUCUUCCCCAGUCUCUGUUCACUAAAUGGCUAAAUCGUAUCUGACAGGCAGUGUACGUGCAGCUCUGUGAAUGUUUAUGUAAGUGUGUGUCCCUGACUGUCCACUGAGAGGUGCACACACACACACACACACACACACACACACAAAUACACACAGGCUCUCUCUCAUACACAAACACACACACAGCGAGGCAGUGUUGGGAGUUUCAGGGUGUCUCUGCUCAGAGUGCAGCGGUCUCUUGCUGGUGCUGGAUGUAAUCAGUCUUCGCAAGCAGGAGGAAGGUUGGCUGUGGAGUCGGUCUGUGAAAGUACACUGCAACAAUGAUCAUCAGACUCGGAAGACUGACUCCAGGAUACUUCCGUCUUCUGCAGCGGCAGGUCUCUGGUGAAGUGCGGAUGCAGCCGCAGACUGGCCCUGUCAACCACAUCGCUAUGACGAUGGCCACAGUGGGAUUAGGGAUGUCCUGCUACAGUGCCCGGCAGAUGGCUGAGCGGGUCCACCUGAAGGAGGCUUCAGCCUGAGAUGCCGCCCCCUAGAGGCCACGAGAGGACACCUCUCUGCCCAAAAGACCAUGGGGCACGUUCAGGACUCAGACCUGCUACACGAUUGGUGUUUAAAUAGGACAAGCUAUGUGGUCAGUGUUUAAAAGAUUUAUCAAUAAUGUAAUGUUCAGGUAACAUACAUACCUUUACUGUAAGUAAUUGCACUUAAUUCUGACAUUAAACCAGUGACAUUGUCACCACUCACCAGACACUAAAUCAAACUAAAAUGGAAAAACCUGAUAAUUUCAUUUUACCUGACUAAUGUGAAGGAGUGGAUCUUACCAUGAAUAUGAGGCUUGGUUGAUGAGGUUCGGUGUUUUUGUACGUUGAAAUGUGUUUGUUGGAGAAUGAUGGAAUGCUAAGCUGUGUGUUAACAGAGAUGAGUUUUCUGGAAAGUGUUGUGAAGGAAAAGUGAAAGUGCUGCUCCUCUGAAAGACGUUUGCCCUUCGUGUUUGUCACUACCAAACGUUUUUGUUGCUUUAACAUGGAGAUGUCUUUGUGUAUGAGACAAACUCUGACUAUACUUGACAUAUGUACAUCCUGACACUGUUUAUCUUACAUGUGUAACAAGCAAAAGCUUAAUGAAAUAAUACUGUAAGACUUAGGCUACUUUAUAGGAAUACUAAGAAUACAUUAGUCAUCACACUACUGUGGGAUUUGCCACUUUUACUAACUCAUCAUAAGAAUUGCACCUGUAUUAGCCUACUUUGUUAACUGAAUGGAACUUUAUACUGUGCACCAAACUGUUUUUUAAACUGUGAAUAAAAUUUCUUUUAAAUAA